Molecule: ribosomal RNA, 492 nt
Filed under: uncultured bacterium
Lineage: Bacteria
Description: partial 16S ribosomal RNA
Rfam family: Bacterial small subunit ribosomal RNA
Source: RNAcentral
AGUGAACGCUGGCGGUAGGCCUAACACAUGCAAAUCGAACGGCAGCACAGUAAGAGCUUGCUCUUACGGGUGGCGAGUGGCGGACGGGCGAGGAAUACAUCGGAAUCUACUUUUUCGUGGGGGAUAACGUAGGGAAACUUACGCUAAUACCGCAUACGACCUACGGGUGAAAGCAGGGGAUCUUCGGACCUUGCGCGAUUGAAUGAGCCGAUGUCGGAUUAGCUAGUUGGCGGGGUAAAGGCCCACCAAGGCGACGAUCCGUAGCGGGUCUGAGAGGAUGAUCAGCCACACUGGAACUGAGACACGGUCCAGACUCCUACGGGAGGCAGCAGUGGGGAAUAUUGGACAAUGGGCGCAAGCCUGAUCCAGCCAUACCGCGUGGGUGAAGAAGGCCUUCGGGUUGUAAAGCCCUUUUGUUGGGAAAGAAAAGCAGCAGGUUAAUACCCCGCUGUUCUGACGGUACCCAAAGAAUAAGCACCGGCUAACUUCGUG